CCUACGGGAGGCAGCAGUGAGGAAUAUUGGUCAAUGGGCGCGAGCCUGAACCAGCCAAGUAGCGUGAAGGAUGACUGCCCUACGGGUUGUAAACUUCUGUUAUAAAGGAAUAAAGUGAGGCACGUGUGCCUUUUUGUAUGUACGGUAUGAAUAAGGAUCGGCUAACUCCGUGCCAGCAGCCGCGGUAACACGGAGGAUCCGAGCGUUAUCCGGAUUUAGUGGGUUUACAGGGAGCGUAGAUGGGUUGUUAAGUCAGUUGUGAAAGUUUGCGGCUCAACCGUAAAAUUGCAAUUGUUACUGGCAGUCUUGAGUCCAGUUGAGGUCGGCGGAAUUCGUUGUGUAGCGGUUAAAUGCU
Molecule: ribosomal RNA, 355 nt
Filed under: uncultured bacterium
Lineage: Bacteria
Description: partial 16S ribosomal RNA
Rfam family: Bacterial small subunit ribosomal RNA
Source: RNAcentral